This 254-nucleotide ribosomal RNA is filed under the name uncultured bacterium. Its description in RNAcentral is "partial 16S ribosomal RNA". It matches the Rfam family "Bacterial small subunit ribosomal RNA", at positions 524 to 776 of the family's 1533-position model. The record is from RNAcentral.
UACGGGGGGAGCAAGCGUUGUUCGGAUUUAUUGGGCGUAAAGGGCGCGUAGGCGGUCAGCACAAGUCAGUUGUGAAAUCUCCGGGCUUAACUCGGAAAGGUCAACUGAUACUGUGCGACUAGAGUGCGGAAGGGGCAACUGGAAUUCUCGGUGUAGCGGUGAAAUGCGUAGAUAUCGAGAGGAACACCUGCGGCGAAGGCGGGUUGCUGGGCCGACACUGACGCUGAUGCGCGAAAGCCAGGGGAGCGAACGGG